AUACGGAGGAUCCGAGCGUUAUCCGGAUUUAUUGGGUUUAAAGGGUGCGCAGGCGGCCAUUUAAGUCAGCGGUUAAAUCGUGGGGCUCAACCCCAUCCUGCCGUUGAUACUGGGUGGCUUGAUUGCGGUCGAGGUUGGCGGAAUUCGUUGUGUAGCGGUGAAAUGCAUAGAUAUGACGAAGAACACCGAUUGCGUAGGCAGCUGACCAGACCGCAAAUGACGCUCAUGCACGAAAGUGCGGGGAUCGAACAGGAUUAGAUACCCUGGUAGUCCGCACAGUAAACGAUGAAUACUUGUUUUCGGCGAUAUAAUGUCGGAGGCAAAGCGAAAGCGAUAAGUAUUCCACCUGGGGAGUACGCCGGCAACGGUGAAACUCAAAUGAAUUGGCGGGG
This 392-nucleotide ribosomal RNA is filed under the name uncultured bacterium. RNAcentral describes it as "partial 16S ribosomal RNA". It matches the Rfam family "Bacterial small subunit ribosomal RNA", at positions 523 to 918 of the family's 1533-position model. The record is from RNAcentral.